GUAGACAGCCAUACCGACUGCAGUUCAGAUUAGCUAAUCCACCUGAAGAUAAGCAGGUUUGGGCCAGACCAGUACUUGGAUGGGAGACCAACUAGGAAAGCUGGGUUGCUGCUGGA
This 116-nucleotide ribosomal RNA is filed under the name Paramormyrops kingsleyae. The record is from RNAcentral. Lineage: Eukaryota; Metazoa; Chordata; Actinopteri; Osteoglossiformes; Mormyridae.